This 495-nucleotide ribosomal RNA is filed under the name uncultured bacterium. Its description in RNAcentral is "partial 16S ribosomal RNA". It matches the Rfam family "Bacterial small subunit ribosomal RNA", at positions 28 to 507 of the family's 1533-position model. The record is from RNAcentral.
GACGAACGCUGGCGGCGUGCCUAAUACAUGCAAGUAGAACGCUGAAGGAGGAGCUUGCUUCUCCGGAUGAGUUGCGAACGGGUGAGUAACGCGUAGGUAACCUGCCUGGUAGCGGGGGAUAACUAUUGGAAACGAUAGCUAAUACCGCAUAAGAGUAGAUGUUGCAUGACAUUUGCUUAAAAGGUGCAAUUGCAUCACUACCAGAUGGACCUGCGUUGUAUUAGCUAGUUGGUGAGGUAACGGCUCACCAAGGCGACGAUACAUAGCCGACCUGAGAGGGUGAUCGGCCACACUGGGACUGAGACACGGCCCAGACUCCUACGGGAGGCAGCAGUAGGGAAUCUUCGGCAAUGGACGGAAGUCUGACCGAGCAACGCCGCGUGAGUGAAGAAGGUUGUCGGAUCGUAAAGCUCUGUUGUAAGAGAAGAACGAGUGUGAGAGUGGAAAGUUCACACUGUGACGGUAUCUUACCAGAAAGGGACGGCUAACUACGUG